GCGGGUAGGUUACUGCGGAGGACAUUAUCGAAUUUCUGAGGGGAGGGGGAGGGAAAGAUGGAAAGCGAAGACUGUCGCUGGCCCCUCGGGGCAUGUGCACGUCUUCCUUUUCGCUGACCCUUCCUCUUUCUCUCACCACACACACCUGUGCACCCAUUGUAGGUCCUCGAAAGAGGAUCUAUGUUUUUUCACAUCACACCCGUCGUAUGUCUACAGAAUGUAAUCGAGAACGUCGUCCUGUUUCGACAGGCUGGCGGUCCAUAAAUCAUACAACUUUCAGCAACGGAUCUCUUGGCUCUCGCAUCGAUGAAGAACGCAGCGAAUUGCGAUAAGUAAUGUGAAUUGCAGAUUUUCAGUGAAUCAUCGAAUCUUUGAACGCACCUUGCGCUCCUUGGUAUUCCGAGGAGCAUGCCUGUUUGAGUGUCAUCGAAUUCUCAACCAUGUCUUGAUUUAUUUCGAGCCAUGGCUUGGACUUGGGGGUUGCUGGCGGCGCGAAGCUGUCGGCUCUCCUGAAAUGCAUUAGCAAAGGGUGGCAAGUCUUUUUGACGUGCACGGCCUUCGACGUGAUAAUGAUCGUCGUGGCUGGAGCGUCGGACAUGCAUGAAUCAUCCAGUGCUUCUAAUUAAUCCCAUCUGACCUUGGGGUCGUUCAGUCUACUAGUUGGUUGUGAGGCCGACGAACGUUGAGUGGCUGGGGGGGGUUUGGUGUCUUUUUCGAAACUUGACCUCAAAUCAGGUAGGACUACCCGCUGAACUUAAGCAUAUCAAUAAACGGGAGGAAAAA
This 783-nucleotide ribosomal RNA is filed under the name uncultured Boletus. Its description in RNAcentral is "eukaryotic LSU rRNA". The stretch from base 272 to 426 matches the Rfam family "5.8S ribosomal RNA". The record is from RNAcentral. Lineage: Eukaryota; Fungi; Basidiomycota; Agaricomycetes; Boletales; Boletaceae.